UGGGGUAUAGCCAAGUGGUAAGGCACCGGUUUUUGGUAUCGGCAUUCGCAGGUUCGAGUCCUGCUACCCCAGCCA
This 75-nucleotide transfer RNA is filed under the name Chromohalobacter sp. RNAcentral describes it as "tRNA-Gln". It matches the Rfam family "tRNA". Rfam says of the family: Transfer RNA (tRNA) molecules are approximately 80 nucleotides in length. Their secondary structure includes four short double-helical elements and three loops (D, anti-codon, and T loops). RNAcentral also lists the same sequence under 20 other names. Lineage: Bacteria; Pseudomonadati; Pseudomonadota; Gammaproteobacteria; Oceanospirillales; Halomonadaceae. The record is from RNAcentral.